This 497-nucleotide ribosomal RNA is filed under the name uncultured bacterium. RNAcentral's name for it is "partial 16S ribosomal RNA". It matches the Rfam family "Bacterial small subunit ribosomal RNA", at positions 28 to 507 of the family's 1533-position model. The record is from RNAcentral.
GAUGAACGCUGGCGGCGUGCCUAAUACAUGCAAGUCGAGCGAACGGACGAGAAUCUUGCUUCUCUGAUGUUAGCGGCGGACGGGUGAGUCACACGUGGAUAACCUACCUAUAAGACUGGGAUCACUUCGGGAAACCGGAGCUAAUACCGGAUAAUAUUUUGAACCGCAUGGUUCAAAAGUAAAAGACGGUCUUGCUGUCACUUAUAGAUGGAUCCGCGCUGCAUUAGCUAGUUGGUAGGGUAACGGCUUACCAAGGCAACGAUGCAUAGCCGACCUGAGAGGGUGAUCGGCCACACUGGAACUGAGACACGGUCCAGACUCCUACGGGAGGCAGCAGUAGGGAAUCUUCCGCAAUGGGCGAAAGCCUGACGGAGCAACGCCGCGUGAGUGAUGAAGGUCUUCGGAUCGUAAAACUCUGUUAUUAGGGAAGAACAGAUGUGUAAGUAACUGUGCACAUCUUGACGGUACCUAAUCAGAAAGCCACGGCUAACUACGUG